Molecule: ribosomal RNA, 497 nt
Filed under: uncultured bacterium
Lineage: Bacteria
Description: partial 16S ribosomal RNA
Rfam family: Bacterial small subunit ribosomal RNA
Source: RNAcentral
GGGGGGGGCGGGCGGCGGGCCUGAUACAUGCAAGUCGAGCGAACGGACGAGGAGCUUGCUUCUCUGAUGUUAGCGGCGGACGGGGGAGUAACACGUGGAUAACCUACCUAUACGACUGGGAUAACUUCGGGACACCGGAGCUAAUACCGUAUAAUAGUUUGACCCGCCUGGUUCAACAGUGAAAGACGGUCUUGCUGUCACUUAUCGAUGCAUCCGCGCUGCAUUAGCUCGUUGGUACGGUAACGGCUUACCAAGGCAACGAUGCAUAGCCGACCUGAGAGGGUGAUCGGCCACACUGGAACUGAGACACGGUCCAGACGCCUACGGGAGGCAGCAGUAGGGAAGCUUCCGCAAUGGGCGAAAGCCUGACGGAGCAACGCCGCGUGAGUGAUGAAGGUCUUCGGAUCGUAAAACUCUGUUAUUAGGGAAGAACAUAUGUGUAAGUAACUGUGCACAUCUUGACGGUACCUAAUCAGAAAGCCACGGCUAACUACGUG